GAGUUUGAUCAUGGCUCAGAUUGAACGCUGGCGGCAUGCCUUACACAUGCAAGUCGAACGGCAGCACGGGAGCUUGCUCCUGGUGGCGAGUGGCGAACGGGUGAGUAAUGCAUCGGAACGUAUCCUGGAGUGGGGGAUAACGUAGCGAAAGUUACGCUAAUACCGCAUAUUCUGUGAGCAGGAAAGCGGGGGACCUUCGGGCCUCGCGCUCUUGGAGCGGCCGAUGUCGGAUUAGCUAGUUGGUGAGGUAAAGGCUCACCAAGGCGACGAUCCGUAGCAGGUCUGAGAGGAUGAUCUGCCACACUGGAACUGAGACACGGUCCAGACUCCUACGGGAGGCAGCAGUGGGAAUUUUGGACAAGUGGGGGCAACCCUGAUCCAGCCAUGCCGCGUGUGUG
Molecule: ribosomal RNA, 398 nt
Filed under: bacterium enrichment culture clone ALO1_GLFRUDD03GANT0
Lineage: Bacteria
Description: bacterial SSU rRNA
Rfam family: Bacterial small subunit ribosomal RNA
Source: RNAcentral